Molecule: ribosomal RNA, 253 nt
Filed under: uncultured bacterium
Lineage: Bacteria
Description: partial 16S ribosomal RNA
Rfam family: Bacterial small subunit ribosomal RNA
Source: RNAcentral
UACGGAGGAUGCAAGCGUUAUCCGGAAUGAUUGGGCGUAAAGCGUCCGCAGGUGGCUAUGUAAGUCUGCUGUUAAAGAGUCUAGCUCAACUAGAUACAAGCAGUGGAAACUACAUAGCUAGAGUACGUUCGGGGCAGAGGGAAUUCCUGGUGUAGCGGUGAAAUGCGUAGAGAUCAGGAAGAACACCGGUGGCGAAGGCGCUCUGCUAGGCCGUAACUGACACUGAGGGACGAAAGCUAGGGGAGCGAAUGGG